GUGCACCUGUCAUAGGCCCAGGCUGGGAACAUUGCCCCCUUGUAGUGCCUGAACCUCAGCUGAGUCGGGUGGCAGCCUCCCAUUUGUUAAAUGCUACACGAGGUGACUGGAGCUCCUCUGCCCGUCGCUGAGAGGACAGAUGGAGAGGCCACGGAGUGUUCUGGAGAGCCGAUGGUAAUUACGAGCCAGUAGCAGAGCCGGUGGCUUCCGCGGGGAACAGGCCUGAGCGGAAGCGCUCGAGUGGCAUGGGGGGUUGUUUGCCCUUUGGCUGCUCAGCAUGCUGUUGCUCUGCGCACUGAGCUCAUGUUGGGACUGCCGUCGCAGCGCAUUUCUCCGCUCUUCACGUCAGUGAGAUCUGAUCAGUCAUCUUCUCAAGAGCUUCCUGUCUGCAGGUGAUUAAUUACUUUGUCACCCGUCGGUCUCAGAAAAUGAGAGGUGAGGAGAAAAAAAGGAGGAAAAGGGAGGAGUAUGAGGGAAAGUGAGCAGGCACAGCUUUGCAGGAUGCUGAAAUGUAGCUCUGCAAUCCCCAUAGGGCUCCCAUUAAUGAGGGUGCAGAGAAAGUUAACAACUUGCAUUAAGCACUAAUGCAUACUUUAAUUAAUUAAGUGCUCGUUUAGAAAUAUCCAACACAUCCUGUACACGUUCAAUCUGACUUAACAAUAACAUAUUAGCGAUUCCUGUUCCAGGCAUAACAUAUUUAAAUGUCACUGAUACUCCAACGGCUAGAUAAACAUACUCUGAAACUCUAUUAGCUGCAUUAGGCGAUGUCUGGAGCAGCGCAAAUUCCCCUGCAAUUCUCUCAUAAUUGCAAAUUAAUUUCACAUUUAAUGUAUGAACACAGCCAUGGUGAAAUGUAGUUAAUUAGUUGAUUAAAAUGCAUAGUUCAAAGUAAAAACUGAGCAAUUUUGGGUCAUUUAGUGAAUCAUUUUAUAGUUAUUGGACAGCUUUAACACUCUUCCUUUUCAUUAUUUUUAAAGCAGGUUCUUAGACCUGGAUGAUGCAGUUAAGACAUUUUAAAGAAAAGUUUUCAAUACCAUAGAAAAUGCCUUUAUUCUCAUUACUGAUUGAUAAAGCGGCAACUUAAAUAUAGAUGCCACAUCCAGUUUUGGCAUCAUGUGACACGUGCAUCUCAAACAGAACUGCCAGCAUAAAUAUAAGUAGCCUAUCACACACACACACACACACACACACACACACUGAGCUUUGAGGUGAGUGUGUUAAUCUCUGAGGUGUGUUAGGAAAGCACAGAAGGAAGGAGAUAUCAAAUAAAGCUCAUGUAAAAAUAUUCUAGAGAAAUUAUUUACUAAAAAGCAUCCUAGUAAAAUUUAGAUAAGCAAAAACUCCAUGCCAUUCCAGUUUUAGCCCAAUGCGACGGGAUUCAUGAGAAGGAUAACAUGAUAAAGACGUGUUUGAACAUAUAAUCUCUGAGGAAAGAUUCCUCUGGGUUAAAUUCAAAAGAAUCACUUUAUGCACAUCCGACCGUGCUGUUUUUUUUGUGUUUUUUUUUUCAGCGAAAGCAGGAAUACAUCUCUCACACAGCUCUCUCAAACCUUAAAACGGAGACAAAGAAACACUAACAAGCCACUAAAAAUAAAUUGGCAUGCAUAGUCAGAAUGUUGACAAUAAAACCAAAAAACAACCCUCGGGAUGUCGACAAUCCCGUCACUCGAAAAUAAAAGCAGCCCUGUUAAUAAAACGCUUCGUUUCCAGACAAAAUGCUUAACAAGCGUCUCUCGGAGUCGGUUUCAACAUGUUUGAAAUCAAUCUGAAUAUUUACGCCCGUGGAAACAGGCAAUCUGUGUAGAGCUGCGCACCUCCUCAGUGGAGAGGAACUUCACUUUUGGCACGGUGUGUUUCAGUAUUUCAUGGAGCUGCACCUCCUUUUUCCCUGCAGACGUCUCCUGCUGAAUGUGUGUGUGCUGAACAAAAGCCUAGGUUGAUUACAACAGGGAAAUUGGUCAUGAACGGGUCAUUACCUGCGUCAAGAAAAAAGAGGAAAAGAAAAGUGUACAACAAGAAUCCGCAAGAAUCUUAUCUGGUAUUUCCAUGCGGUUGGGUGAUGAAGAGCAGGUGGCCUCAUUUGCAGAGAGCACUUCCUCAGAAGCAGCACCUUCGCUGCCUCCUCUUCCUCCACGUGGCUGUCGGGCAGGCGAGGGCGAUUGCGUUCCCCUCCCACUCCGUGCCGCCUGUCCGCCUGUGGGACCUGCUCCGUGGGCUUUUCAUCAGCUGCCAUUUUCACCAGCAUGCAGGAACUCCAGGACAAGGAUAAUAACCAUUCCUGUUAAUUGUGGUUUGGUGAAGAAACAAGGCCUGUCGCUCGCCGGUCUAAUCUGCCCGGCUGUCCCAAUCCAGUCCAAGCAGGAAGAAUGAACAGAGAAAACUGUGUACAACACAUUCUGAAGUUCUGGAUGGCAUGAAGGUUAACGUGGCUGGCUUCCAAAAUCAUCGUGCCUGAGACCACACAGAUGGGGAUGAGAUAAAACUUCUAAACCUAACAGCAUGGGUGGAUGAGGUGUUGUGCAGAGAAGAAAGACAUGGAGAAGAAACCACAACCAAACUUCAUCAGUUCUUGCAUGCCAGCUCCUAGACAGCAAAACACAAACCGAAGACGAGCUUCAAAAUGGAGGGAUCGAAAAGAGGAGAGGACGAGUGCAGAGAAAACAAAGAAACAGAGGAAGAAGGGAAGAAAAUAAGCAGAGAGAAGAAGGUGUGGAGCAGAAGUGUGGAAGUGUGUUGCUGGGCAGAGGGUUGGCAAGCGGGGUGGAGAAGCGGGCACGCUCACAGACAUCUGUUGGCACGCUGCGGAUGCUGGAGGGGGCACACUGCCAUGACCAGCGGGAACAUGGCACACUGAUAAUGCUGGAGCUAUACUCAGAUUCACACUGCGUCUCUAUAGAACGCCACACACACCAGCACUAAUGAUAAAAUAAUCUCACACUAUCGACAUGAGCGACACAGGACACACAUGUUGCGGAUCAAAAUAUCAUAAUUGGCAGCUUGCAGUUUUUAGUCUGGGCAAAAUGCUUUUUUAUGAGAAUCUAAGAGAAAUUAUCCUGCAGAAUAAAAAGUGAAUUAACACUCCUAAAAAUAAAAGUUCUUCAGUGGCAUUGAUUGUUCCAUGAAGAACCUUUAACAUACUUUCCACUGAAUAAAAGGUUCUUUAUAGAGGAAAAAGGUUCUUUAGAUUUUUUAAAUAAUAAAAAAAGAAAAACUGCUCACCGAAAGGUUCUUUGGGAAUUCUUUUUUUUUUUUUCGUGGAAUUCACAUUCUUAAAAAAACAAUUUUUUUUUUUUUUUUAAAUAACAUUUCAGUGAUGGAAAAGAUCUUUUAAAAAAAAUACAGAAAAAUCUAUUAUGAUUAAUUCAAACAAUAUUCUCAAGGAAAUGUUUUGCUUAAGACAUUCUGAGUAGAAAGAGCAGGUAAAAUGUAAACAUUAAAAUAUUAUAUAUAAUAUUUUACCAGACAUGAUGGAAACAUGAAAAUGUUAUUGCAAAGUAGGAAUUUAAAUAAAAUUAUUUUUCUCAAACCUUUUUUCUCAAAUCUAUGGAAGCUUUCUAUUUUACAAAAUGGUUCUUAACAAUAAAAAAUAUUCUUUAUAUUAUUAAAAUGUUCUUCACACCAAGAAAAUGUUUAUUAUUAUUAUUAUUAUUAUUAUUAUUAUUAUUUAUUAUUAUUAUUAUUUUAGUCUAAAAUCUAACAUUUUAAAAAUCUAAAGUGCAUGUUAUACUGCAGUAUAAGGAGCCUUUUGUGGAAUGGAAAGAUUCUAUUGAUAUUAACAUUUCUUUAGUAGUGUAAAGUACUGUAGUAUUGUAAAAAUAUUCUUUAAUAGUCUAAUUUGAUAAUAUAAAUGACUCUCUUUGGUGCAAUCUGUUUGAUCCUGUCAUAAAAAUCUUACUAAUAUAUUUGACUUCAAUAAAACCAGUCGAUUUAUAUGCCGCCUCCUUUUUAGGUUACCUGACAACACAUUUUUUACUCUGUGCGUCAUAGCAAUUUUAUUCCCUGUAUCUUUUGGC
Carassius gibelio (silver crucian carp) is the source of this 4013-nucleotide long non-coding RNA. RefSeq lists it as uncharacterized. The transcript has 8 exons. Lineage: Eukaryota; Metazoa; Chordata; Actinopteri; Cypriniformes; Cyprinidae. The record is from RefSeq and is a predicted model, not a curated record.